This 46-nucleotide non-coding RNA is filed under the name Trichobilharzia regenti. Lineage: Eukaryota; Metazoa; Platyhelminthes; Trematoda; Strigeidida; Schistosomatidae. The record is from RNAcentral.
AUACUGAUGAGGAGUCCCAAACUAGGACGAAACAGAUGUCCAGUAG